RNAcentral lists this ribosomal RNA (234 nucleotides) under uncultured bacterium. RNAcentral's name for it is "partial 16S ribosomal RNA". It matches the Rfam family "Bacterial small subunit ribosomal RNA", at positions 524 to 755 of the family's 1533-position model. The record is from RNAcentral.
UACGUAGGGUGCGAGCGUUAAUCGGAAUUACUGGGCGUAAAGCGUGCGCAGGCGGUUUUGUAAGCCAGGUGUGAAAUCCCCGGGCUCAACCUGGGAAUGGCAUUUGGGACUGCAAGGCUGGAGUGCGGCAGAGGAGACUGGAAUUCCUGGUGUAGCAGUGAAAUGCGUAGAGUAUCAGGAGGAACACCGAUGGCGAAGGCAGGUCUCCUGGGCUGACACUGACGCUCAUGCACG